RNAcentral lists this ribosomal RNA (492 nucleotides) under uncultured bacterium. RNAcentral describes it as "partial 16S ribosomal RNA". It matches the Rfam family "Bacterial small subunit ribosomal RNA", at positions 29 to 507 of the family's 1533-position model. The record is from RNAcentral.
AGUGAACGCUGGCGGUAGGCCUAACACAUGCAAGUCGAACGGCAGCACAGUAAGAGCUUGCUCUUACGGGUGGCGAGUGGCGGACGGGUGAGGAAUACAUCGGAAUCUACUUUUUCGUGGGGGAUAACGUAGGGAAACUUACGCUAAUACCGCAUACGACCUACGGGUGAAAGCAGGGGAUCUUCGGACCUUGCGCGAUUGAAUGAGCCGAUGUCGGAUUAGCUAGUUGGCGGGGUAAAGGCCCACCAAGGCGACGAUCCGUAGCUGGUCGGAGAGGAUGAUCAGCCACACUGGCACUGGAACACGGUCCAGACUCCUACGGGAGGCAGCAGUUGGGAAUAUUGGACAAUGGGCACAAGCCUGAUCCAGCCAUACCGCGUGGGUGAAGAAGGCCUUCGGGUUGGAAAGCCCUUUUGUUGGGAAAGAAAAGCAGCAGGUUAAUACCCCGCUGUUCUGACGGUACCCAAAGAAUAAGCACCGGCUAACUUCGUG